This 603-nucleotide ribosomal RNA is filed under the name Naganishia liquefaciens. Its description in RNAcentral is "eukaryotic LSU rRNA". It matches the Rfam family "Eukaryotic large subunit ribosomal RNA", at positions 49 to 656 of the family's 3401-position model. Lineage: Eukaryota; Fungi; Basidiomycota; Tremellomycetes; Filobasidiales; Filobasidiaceae. The record is from RNAcentral.
AGCGGAGGAAAAGAAACUAACAAGGAUUCCCCUAGUAACGGCGAGUGAAGCGGGAAGAGCUCAAAUUUGAAAUCUAGUAGCCUUCGGCUGCUCGAGUUGUAAUCUAGAGAAGUGUUUUCCGUGCCGGCCCAUGUACAAGUCCCUUGGAACAGGGCGUCAUAGAGGGUGAGAAUCCCGUCCUUGACAUGGACCCCCGGUGCUCUGUGAUACACUUUCAACGAGUCGAGUUGUUUGGGAAUGCAGCUCAAAAUGGGUGGUGAAUUCCAUCUAAAGCUAAAUAUUGGCGAGAGACCGAUAGCGAACAAGUACCGUGAGGGAAAGAUGAAAAGCACUUUGGAAAGAGAGUUAAACAGUACGUGAAAUUGUUGAAAGGGAAACGAUUGAAGUCAGUCAUGCUCUUUGGUAUUUAUAUCAUUGAGUGGGGUCAACAUCAGUUUUGAUCGAUGGAUAAAGGCACUAGGAAGGUAGCACUCUCGGGUGAACUUAUAGCCUGGCGUCAUAUACAUUGAUUGGGACUGAGGAACGCAGCAUGCCUUUAUGGCCGGGAUUCGUCCACGUACAUGCUUAGGAUGUUGACAUAAUGGCUUUAAACGACCCGUCUUG